CGACGGUCGCCUAACAGUCACUUGGCUGGAGACAGUCAGCAGCGAACAUGCUGUGCUGCUUUCCCAGGCCUCCAGGCCGCAGCCUCAGGACCCCGCCCAGGGAAAGCACUUGGGAGUGAGUGAGAGGAUGGAUCACUGGGUCCAGACGCUCCAGGCCACUGGCCAGGAACCUUCCUGCCCUCAUGGGCAGCACAGGGCAGGUCUCACCAGACCCAGCGACCACUGGCCCUGAGAUGAGAGGGAGCCCAGGGCAGGUCUCCCUGGGCCUGGCCACCACACACUCGGAGCCACUGAGUCCAGGACAGGACCAUUUAGGAUUGGCCACCUCUAUUGGAAAUCAGGUGGCGGAGAGCCUGUCACAGGCCUGCCUGGUGAGGAUAGUGAAGACAGGCUGGUGGUGCACCCCAUCGAAGCCCCUGGAGAAGCCCAUCCCGGGUAGCUGCCCCGUCUGUGGCGUCUCCUUCCCAGACUCCUCCGGGAUCUGCAUCGCUUCCCUACAUGACAGGAUGCUGGGAAGCUGCAGGGCCAGCUGCAGCCCAAGCUGAAGUCCCACCUGUAGAGCUUGUGCCAGCUCCACCUGCAGCUCCCUCCCCAGCUCUGGCACCACAGCCAGAGGCAGCGCCAGGAACCCCUUCUCCACCAGCUGCACAGCUGGGGAUCCUGGUGGUUGCACGGCGGGCAUCAGCUCCUGAGCUCCAGAAGGGGCAAGCUCCUGCCCCACCCCUGCCAUUCCCCUCCAUUACUCUUGGUCAUGUUUUGGCAUAUAGUUUUGCUCUUAUUUUCUGGGUUUAUGUAAAUAAUAGAACUAUUUUUUAAAU
Molecule: long non-coding RNA, 818 nt
Filed under: Heterocephalus glaber (naked mole-rat)
Lineage: Eukaryota; Metazoa; Chordata; Mammalia; Rodentia; Bathyergidae
Description: lncRNA (ENSHGLG00100031087.2)
Source: RNAcentral